Cucurbita moschata (crookneck pumpkin) is the source of this 1563-nucleotide RNA transcript. RefSeq lists it as uncharacterized. The record is from RefSeq and is a predicted model, not a curated record. Lineage: Eukaryota; Viridiplantae; Streptophyta; Magnoliopsida; Cucurbitales; Cucurbitaceae. The transcript is spliced from 6 exons.
UAUAAUCCAAUCCAAACAGCUAGAACUCCACAUACACCAGAUGGCGAAAUCAUACUCCAUAUCUGUUCAUUGAUUCGAUUCAAAUCAAUUCAAGAUACCCUUACUCUGCUACAAGCUCACAUGCUAGAAUCUGUUCUACACAGUUCGAAUUUAUCAUCAAUUUGUACGUUGUAGGCUCGCCACGACGCCAUUGUCUUUCAGUUGCGACAUGAUAUUAAUCUACAAUAGCUUCACGCGUCCUUUCGUAUUGUACUGAUCUCUUUGAAGUGAAGUUUUCUGUACCGAUACAUUGGUGGAUCGAUGUCUGAUUCUAGCAAGAGAGGGAAAAUAUGUUACUCCGGUGAACUACAUUGAAACUUGGACAUCCACUCAUUGAGAGGGAAUGUUGCCGGUCAGCUUUCAUGUGAACUUCAAAAAGGCAGGAUCUCUCAAUCUGCAUCUGAGCAUUCAUGGAUAUAAUAGCUUAUAAAGAUCUUGUGGAGGAGACGCGCUAAAGAACUUCAUCAAAGCAUGACAUCUCCAUCUAAUAUUUCCAUCUUGCAAGCAGCAAGUUUAUUUCAUGCAUCUUCUGCUCAACUCCGAUAACAUAUAUCUCUUCACAAAUCACUACAUUUGAAAAGGACAACCAUGGAUAUUUGCUGAGCUCAUCCUCCAUUGAUCAGGAAAUCAUGUGGUUCAUACAGCUGCAUAACUCCCCAUACCCUCUUUUGAAUCUAUGCAGAGUAGAAAGAAGAUUUUUCAACUUACUUCACCAACUACCACUGUGAGUUCAUAUGGUCCCAACUUUCUGCGUUUAAUGUAUUUCUGCUUCUUUUGCUACUUUAUUAUAGAAAAAAAAAAUGGCACUGCUUGAGAUGAAAGACAAAUAUCCUUUUUAUAUGUUUCAAUCAGCAGUAAAAAGAGUCAAAAUCAUGUAGCAUUCAUUUCCACAUGAGAGAGAAUCUGCUUUCUGUUGCCUUUGUAUGUAAACGUUAGCUCAUACAAUUGUCUUUUUUGGCUUGCUUUCAAUUUGCACCCACUCCCAGUUGCUUUCCUUGGACACCAUUCACAUAUUUGGUCUCUCCCCACCCUCCAUAUAACCAAGAGCCUCCUACCUGUGCCCCUAAAUUUAAGGUUCUCACCCACCUAGCUGUCCCUUUCCAAUCUUCUGCUGGUCCUCAAAUUGAGUAAUGGCUGAUUCUGUAGGACACUGUUCAGGACCAAAAUGGGACACUGAUCCCCUCUCAGCCCUGAGCCCAAACUGCAAGUUGAAAGACAGAGCCAUGUGAAACCCUUGUGAACUCUUCUCUAACCAGACCCCAACCCAACCUGCUUCUUCCUCCAUUGCCUCAGAACUUUGAUAUCUUCCUUUUCCACCAAUUUAUCAAUAUAAAUACGGACAUAAACUUGUGGUUGAAUUGCACUUUCAGUUCAUUGUUCGUUAACGACGAAAAACUGACAUGGGAACCGUUUACAGAGUGUCAUUGUAACACCCCAGAUCUACCACUAGUAGAUAUUGUCCUCUUUGGGCUUUCCCUUCCGAACUUCCUCUCAAAGUUUUUAAAGCGCGUCUGCUAGGAAGAG